CGCUGAAUUUAAGCAUAUAAGUAGGCGGAGGAGAAGGCACAAAUUGGGGUUCCUCAAUUAGUUGCGAAUGAAAGAGAGAGGACUUCAGCUUGAUAUCCAAAGGCUCUGCCUUUGACAUGAAGAUUCGACAGUGUGCCAAAGGGAGCGUGGUGGAAAGUGGAUACUGUCUUGGAAGAGGGGUGUAAAAAUGGCAACGAGGGUGAUAAACCUUUGACACUUAAUAUGUCUUCCUGCACGGCACCUUGUCUAGACUCAUGCUCUUUGAAAGUGGAGUGCAAAGUGGGUGGUAAAUCUCACUCAAAGACAGAUACAACACUGGGGCCGACAGCGCACAAGUACCGUGAGGGAAGCGUGAAAAGGACUUUGGAAAGAGAAUUAAAGGAGCCUGAACUUGCUGAAGAGCAAGCAUACAGGGUGGGAGAGUUUGGAGAGAUUUCCUUGCACGACCAUGCUUGUGGUCACCUCCUGUGCAAAGGUUUUUGUGGUGCAUACUGGCAUGAUGUGUGUGUGUGUGUGUCUCUUCUUGGAUGACAAUCAAAGACACCUGCAGUCAAUGGCAACUGGUGGUAGUGUGCCAAUUUGUCGUGUGGCUUUUGCCGCUCAGAUUCUGCACGUGUUUGGGGCAUGGUUGGGGGGGGGGGGUGGUGGUGCCACAGCUGAGUGUGAAAGGGCAUGGGGGUGGUGAUGCCUCAGUGUGUGCGAAGGUAAGACCUGCCCGGCUGCACAUCUACUGUCAACCUCCGCCUGUGUGACCCGUCUUGAAACACGGACCAAGGAGUCUAACAACUCCGCAGGGUGUGUGUUUGUGUGUUGUACAACUCUGCGCCAAUGAAAGUGGAGUCCCAGACCUGUGCAUGAGUGUUCCACCAAUCAUGAGGUUGAGGUUUGAGUCUGAGCGUGGCUGUUAGGACCCGAAAGAUGGUGAACUAUGCCUGGCAAGGGUCAAGGCAGGGGAAACUCUGAUGGAGGCUCGCAGCGUUACUGACGUCAAAUGUUCGU
Molecule: ribosomal RNA, 999 nt
Filed under: Gambierdiscus pacificus
Lineage: Eukaryota; Dinophyceae; Gonyaulacales; Pyrocystaceae
Description: LSU rRNA
Rfam family: Eukaryotic large subunit ribosomal RNA
Source: RNAcentral